AUCCAACUGACGAGUCCCAAAUAGGACGAAACAUGCGUCAAACUGGAU
Molecule: non-coding RNA, 48 nt
Filed under: Schistosoma mansoni
Lineage: Eukaryota; Metazoa; Platyhelminthes; Trematoda; Strigeidida; Schistosomatidae
Source: RNAcentral